Molecule: long non-coding RNA, 292 nt
Organism: Aplysia californica (California sea hare)
Lineage: Eukaryota; Metazoa; Mollusca; Gastropoda; Aplysiida; Aplysiidae
Exons: 2
Source: RefSeq, a predicted model, not a curated record
AAAAGACUGUUCGUGAGAAUCGAACCCUGACCCUUAUCAUCCUGUCCCUGUGGACAGCCAGCCUGACCCAAUUCACUCUGGUGUUGACUGCUGCGAAGUCCAAAAAGACCCGGCCGGCACUGUUCCGUUCUGAGAGCGCGUCAUCCACAGCCUGUUCGAGGGGAGGCAAGGGCUGUUGUCCAACAGAGACUGACUUAAAGUCUCAAGGCCUACCCUGGUCACAAUGGGAACUGUCACCCGUUAGAAGCCCGUGCACUCAGCGUUUUGAGGAAACAGAAGAAGAAAGGAAGGA